RNAcentral lists this ribosomal RNA (894 nucleotides) under Triticum aestivum (bread wheat). RNAcentral describes it as "partial small subunit ribosomal RNA". Lineage: Eukaryota; Viridiplantae; Streptophyta; Magnoliopsida; Poales; Poaceae. The record is from RNAcentral.
GACUUGGUUGCUAUUGCUGAGCGGAUGGCUACUGUGAAACACAAGAUACUGGUUUUGUCAGGAAAGGGAGGUGUUGGAAAGAGCACAUUUUCAGCCCAGCUCUCAUUUGCCCUAGCUGAAAUAGACCAUCAGGUUGGCCUCCUCGACAUAGAUAUAUGUGGCCCUAGCAUCCCGAAAAUGUUAGGCCUUGAAGGCCAGGAUAUUCAUCAGAGCAACCUUGGGUGGUCACCAAUCUACGUUGAGUCCAACCUUGGUGUCAUGUCGAUUGGUUUUAUGCUGCCUAACCCAGAUGAUGCUGUCAUAUGGAGGGGUCCUCGCAAGAACGGAUUGAUCAAACAGUUUCUCAAGGAUGUUGACUGGGGUGAGAUUGACUACCUUGUAGUGGAUGCACCCCCGACAUCAGAUGAGCACAUCUCAAUCGUCCAGUACCUACAAGCCACCGAAGUUGAUGGCGCGAUAAUCGUGACGACCCCUCAGCAAGUCUCUCUUAUUGACGUGAGGAAGGAAAUCAAUUUCUGCAAGAAGAUGGGUGUGCCGGUGCUGGGCGUUGUGGAGAACAUGAGUGGCCUGAGGCAGGCAUUCACAGACCUCAAGUUCGUAAAGCCAGGUCCUGCAGGGGAGACAGACGCCACGGAGUGGGCGAUGAACUACAUCAAGGAGAAGGCUCCGGAGCUUUUGUCGGUCGUGGCCUGCAGCGAGGUGUUUGACAGCAGCAAGGGUGGCGCAGAGAAGAUGUGCCAUGAGAUGGGGGUCCCUUUCCUCGGCAAGGUGCCGAUGGACCCGCAGUUGUGCAAGGCAGCCGAGGAAGGGAGGUCGUGCUUCGCCGACCAGAGGUGCAGCGCCAGUGCGCCGGCUCUGAAAAGCAUCAUCGACAAGCUGAUCAAAACCAAGUAA